GUUAGGGCGUUAAGGUUGUGCCAACAGAGAAAGAGUGAUGCUGAAGAGAGUGGCCCUUCUCCAGCGCCUGCCCUCCUCCUCCUCCCCACCCCCUCUCUGUGUCUCCCACCUCUCCCUCUGCGCUGGUUCUCUACCCUCAGCCUGUAAACAAGAUCAAGUCUCUCCCAACAAGAAUCAACUGAGACCCAGCAAUUCUACUCCUAAGUGUAUAUUCAAGGGAAUUGGAAACAAAAAUCUACUCAAAAAGUUGUACAAAAAAUGUUCAUAGCAUAUACAUAAUAGCCAACAAGUGGAAUUUCCGUCGUUUGAUGAGUGGAUAAACAAAUUAUGAUUUGUCCAUGCAAAGGAAUAUUAUUGGACCAUAAAAAGGAAUGAAGUACUGAUACACGCUAUAAUAAGGAUGAAUGUUGAAAACGUCAUCCUUAUUAUAUGUGAUAUAUAUAAGUGAUUAUACAAGUGAAAGAAACCAGACAUGAAAGACUACAUAGCAUAUGAGUCCGUUUCUAUCAAAUGUCCAGAAUAGGCAAAACCAUAGAGACAGAAAGUAGAUUGGUGGUUGCCAGGAGCUGGGGGAAAGGGAAAGUGGGGAGUGACUGCUAAUGGGCCUGAGGUUUCUGCUUUAGGGUGUGAUGAAAAUGUUCUGGAAUUAGGUAGGAGUGAUGAUUGCAUGACUUUGUGAAUAUACUAAAAACCGCUGAAUAAUACACACUUUAAAAGAGUGAAUGUUGUAGUAUGUGAAUUAUAUCUCAAUUUUUUUAAAAGAAAAUCAAACUACCAAAAAAACUAACUCCCUUGAUGCUGAACCCCUUCUGACUACUGUGCAGUUUCCCAUCCCUUCUCAUCCAAGAUUCUUAAAAGGGUGGGCUAUGCGUUCUACCCCCACUUCCUCAUCUCCCAUUUAUAUGUCGGUUCCCUAGAAUGUGGCUUCUGUCCACACCAGAGAGAGAGCUCAAAUCCACGCUCUCCUUGAAUGCUGAGGCUUUCUAUGACCUUGAACAUUCCUGGUUCUCCCCCUCCUCUCCAGUCUUUCUGUCUUUUGACCUUCUUUUCCUUGGCAAACCUAUUUUAAACAUUGAUGUUUUUUAUGGCUCCUUCCAAAAUCCUUCCUAGGUUCUAUCAUCCAUGUCCGUGAGUUCAGUUACUGUGUUUCAAAUUCUAACAUUCACCUGAUGUCCCAUAGGUUUCUCAAACUCAGUGUGUCCUAAGCAAUUUAUCAUCUCCCUCCCCUUCCUCUACCUUCUCUCCAAGGGUGCUGUCUCUUACAGCAUGCUAGGGCCUGGGAGUCAUCCUUGAUUCUUCCCUCUUCCUUCUUCUAGAGUCAACCACCAAUUUUUAUCCUAUAAAUGUUCUUAAAUCCCAUUGCUCUUUUCUAUUCCUACUAUCACAGCCCUAGUCCACAGCGCCAUCAUCUUUUGCCUUUUACUUCCCUUCAUCUUUUGUGCCCUUCCAAUCUAGCUUUCAAACAGUUGUUGAAGUGGACACCCAUUGCAAUGGCUAACACAGCUGGCAUUCCUCUCUCUUAUGGUAGCAAUGCCCUGGCUUUGCUUUAGGAACCCACCCCUUCCCCCAUGAGCUAUGAGCUUGUUGAGACUGCCAACCAAAAUGCCAACUUUACCUAAACCAGGCUGGGUAUGCCCUGAAGCUGGGGCAAUACAACACCCUUCAUUGGGGAGUUUGAAUUCUGGGCAGAGCAACAUAAAAACUGAAGUUGGUUGGACCUGAUUCUUCCCGACCCGGAAGACUUCCAGUCGAUUCCUGCUGCUUCUGUCCUGGGAGCUCCUUUCAGAGCCUGGAUGCUGUAGUUUUCCUGCAGUUUUCUGAAUGAUCCUGUAUCUUGCCAAUGUAUUCUUUUUCUGGAAGUUGAUGAGAGUUGCCUGCAAAGAUAGAAUCUAGCAGAUACAGAAAAAUGUUUAAGACACAAACCAUGUCUUUGCCUACUUAAAAUUCUUUGGAGACAUCCAUUGCCCAUAGGAUAGACUCCAAGCUCUGUGACCCAGCUGCUCCCUGCCUCUCCUGCAUCUUCUCUCCCCAUUCCCUGCCUUGCCUUCACAUUUCUGCCUUUCUGAAUUACUUGGAGUUUCACAUAAACUCACUAAGAUUUCAUGCCCUGGUGUUCAUGAGACCCCCUUUAUAUAGAAUAUCCUUCCCUGUUUUCCCCCAACUAACUUCAACCAUCCUUUAAGGAGUUAUCCUUCAGAAAGCCUCCAUGGCUCUUCCUUGCUCCCAACCGUCCGCCUUCCUCUGUGUUCUCAAAGCACUCGUUUCUUCCACCUAUGGUUGCACUUACUGUCAUGGUAUUUUACUUGACCAUUUAAUUAUCGCCUCUCCCACUAAAUGUGGAGUUCCUUGAGGGCUGUAAGUUUCUAUUCUGUAUCCUUAGUGCUUAGCACACUCCCCAGCACGUGGCAGGUGCUCAGUACCCUUCCUUUCUUCUUCUUCUUCUUUGCCUCUAAUCUUGAAUAAGAGAAAAGGAUCACAUGAAGGAACACUGACAAGCAUUUUUCCCAGGGAGAUGAAAAGCAAAAAUUCACGCUUAAGGCAGCUCAUAUAAAUUGUUUAAAAACUGUAUUCCAGUUCUGAAAAAUGUUCCAGGAGACUGCUAAAACCUCAGUAAGACUACAGGGCUAAAGGGUACUUAUUUAAAUAACAUUGCUCUCAUCUCAAAAAUCUGCUCAAUUUCUCCUGAAAGCCUUCACAGCCUAAUGAGAUGGAAAAUUAAGUAACUCAGACAAUUGUAGUCAUUAUUGUGACUAAAUGGCAAGGUAAGUUUUUACACACAUUUGUAAUGGUAGCUGGAGAAUAAACUAAACAUAAUAGGCAAAUCCCUAGUUCCAUUUGUGUGUCUAUGGUGAAACACGUACUACCUUAAGUGGAAUUAUAUAACCAUCCAUAUGCAGAUGCUGAGUGAGGAAAGCUGGAUUCUCGUCGCAGCCCGGCCACGACCAACUACUUGACCUUGGAUCUGACCUCUGAAUCCUAUAUUUCACUCACCAGCAUCCCCUCCUAUCUGCGUUCCCAACACUGCCUACCUUCGAUCAACUGGAAAUGAUGAUAUAUUAGCCAGCAACUCCAGAGCACAGAUUCGUUUAUCUGUAGCAACAGGGCCUAGAGGAAGGAGACAGGGAUGGUUAUUUAGUGGAGGAGAGUCACUUAAUAAAAGAGAUUAAGCACCUUAGGAGCCUGAAGGGUUGAGCAAAUUGUUUGAUGCACUGCACUAGCAAUUAUGUGUGAAAGGCUUCACGUACGGGAUACAGACCCCACAUAAAAUUAUGCAUUUGCACAUGCAAUUGUAAUUAACAUCCUAAUUUGAAAAAGCGCUGCUUGGGUCCCUGUGAGGUAUCGCAUUGGGACACUGGGAACCUCACCUGGAGGCACUGGGAACCUUAGGAAAAGGCAACGUGGAAAGAAUCUGGGUUGCUUCCCUGGAAAUAAAAAUGAAGAGUAUGCUACUGAUUAAGUUUGCUCUUUGUUCUGGCUUUGCGAGAUUCAUGGGAAAAGACAGAUCUUCAGCACUGUUUUGAUUGAUUCAUCUAACAUUUUGUGACCAGAUAACCUCUGCUUACAGAGAUGACUAAGACAAUGUUGCUCUUCUUUAGGAGCUGGAGGAGGAAAUGGACCCUUGAGCAGUCGAGUCACAGCAGGAAACAGCCCACGUGGCUCAAGUGAAGAGAUUUCAGUGAAAGGACAACCUGCAUAGCCCACGUGUUCUCAGUAUGGAGACAACGCCAGCUAUGACCGCUGAUUUGAAGCAUGUCCUACCUUCUGCAGUUUCUCAGGUCCAUCGACCUCCAUCUCUCUUCUGUGGCUUCAUCAGAGAAGGAUGAGUGAGCAGUGCUGGUUCCCUGUCCUGUGCUGAGAUGACAUUGCAGGGGUACAGAGGAGACAAGCCACGGACAACCUGUAGCAACAGGAGGAGGAGAAUUAAUAGGAAGUCUGAGAAGACCAGAGACUUUCUCUCUGCCCCGCACCCCGCCUGCCAACCACGCUGGAUCUCAGACAUCUGACCCAGCUCAGCUCAUGGAAUGCUUCUUCUGAGACUUCAGGUCACAGAGAGUGAUGCAAGGACACAGAGGCAGGUGAGAGACCACCCCCGACAGCCGAGCCCAAGGAUGAGAGUCCAGCAGCAGCACCAUCCAGCAGAGUGUGGGACUUUGGCAUUGAGUGGCCAGGGGCAGCUGUGCCUGGCAGCAUCUUCAUCACACUGACCCUGAGGGGUGACCUUGGCUGUGAUACCCACUGCCUGGCCUCUUGUUCUGGUCAUCCUAUGAGCCUGGUUUGCCACCCUCUCUUCAAUUCUCAAGCUACCUGAUAUCUUUCCAAUAAAUUCCUUGGCUGCUCAAGUUAGCCAGAGCUUGUUUCUGUGACUUGUCACUAGGAACCCUGACAUUGACGUAGACUUACUGCCUCCCUUCAAAACAGAAAAUGUG
This 4427-nucleotide long non-coding RNA is filed under the name Equus caballus (horse). RNAcentral's name for it is "lncRNA (ENSECAG00000051746.1)". The record is from RNAcentral. Lineage: Eukaryota; Metazoa; Chordata; Mammalia; Perissodactyla; Equidae.